RNAcentral lists this ribosomal RNA (468 nucleotides) under uncultured bacterium. RNAcentral describes it as "partial 16S ribosomal RNA". It matches the Rfam family "Bacterial small subunit ribosomal RNA", at positions 28 to 507 of the family's 1533-position model. The record is from RNAcentral.
GACGAACGCUGGCGGCGUGCUUAACACAUGCAAGUCGAACGGAAAGGCCCUGCUUUUGUGGGGUGCUCGAGUGGCGAACGGGGGAGUAACACGUGAGUAACCGGCCCUUGACUUUGGGAUAACUUCAGGAAACUGGGGCUAAUACCGGAUAGGAGAUCCUGCUGCAUGGUGGGCGUUGGAAAGUUUCGGCGGUUGGGGAUGGACUCGCGGGUGAUCAGCUUGUUGGUGGGGUAGUGGCUUACCAAGGCUUUGACGGGUAGCCGGCCUGGGAGGGUGACCGGCGACAUUGGGACUGAGGUACGGCCCAGACUCCUACGGGAGGCAGCAGUGGGGAAUAUGGCACAAUGGGCGGAAGCCUGAUGCAGCAGCGCCGCGUGCGUGAUGACGGCCUUCGGGUUGUAAACCGCUUUCGCCUGUGACGAAGCGUGAGUGACGGUAAUGGGUAAAGAAGCACCGGCUAACUACGUG